Non-coding RNA from Perkinsus chesapeaki, 72 nucleotides. Lineage: Eukaryota; Perkinsozoa; Perkinsida; Perkinsidae. The record is from the annotation of a GenBank genome assembly.
GCCGGUCUAGCGUAGUGGAAACGCGUCAGUCUUGUAAACUGAAGGUCGGCAGUUUGAUUCUACCAUUCGGCU